Molecule: ribosomal RNA, 305 nt
Filed under: uncultured bacterium
Lineage: Bacteria
Description: bacterial SSU rRNA
Rfam family: Bacterial small subunit ribosomal RNA
Source: RNAcentral
GUCCUACGGGACGCAGCAGUGGGGAAUAUUGCACAAUGGGGGAAACCCUGAUGCAGCAACGCCGCGUGAGUGAAGAAGUAUUUCGGUAUGUAAAGCUCUAUCAGCAGGGAAGAAAAUGACAGUACCUGACUAAGAAGCCCCGGCUAACUACGUGCCAGCAGCCGCGGUAAUACGUAGGUGGCAAGCGUUGUCCGGAAUUACUGGGUGUAAAGGGAGCGCAGGCGGGAAGCCAAGUCAGCUGUGAAAACUACGGGCUUAACUUGUAGACUGCAGUUGAAACUGGUUUUCUUGAGUGACGUAGAGGU